GGUGCGAUAGUUAAAUAAUAACAUUAAAUUGCAAAUUUAAAUUUAUACUAAUAGUAUUCCCACCU
RNAcentral lists this transfer RNA (65 nucleotides) under Dendrobaena veneta. RNAcentral describes it as "tRNA-Cys". The record is from RNAcentral. Lineage: Eukaryota; Metazoa; Annelida; Clitellata; Crassiclitellata; Lumbricidae.